RNAcentral lists this ribosomal RNA (320 nucleotides) under uncultured bacterium. Its description in RNAcentral is "bacterial SSU rRNA". It matches the Rfam family "Bacterial small subunit ribosomal RNA", at positions 470 to 789 of the family's 1533-position model. The record is from RNAcentral.
UGACGGUACCUGACUAAGAAGCCCCGGCUAACUACGUGCCAGCAGCCGCGGUAAUACGUAGGGGGCAAGCGUUAUCCGGAUUUACUGGGUGUAAAGGGAGCGUAGACGGCGAGGCAAGUCUGAAGUGAAAGCCCGGGGCUCAACUCCGGGACUGCUUUGGAAACUGUUUUGCUAGAGUGCAGGAGAGGUAAGUGGAAUUCCUAGUGUAGCGGUGAAAUGCGUAGAUAUUAGGAGGAACACCAGUGGCGAAGGCGGCUUACUGGACUGUAACUGACGUUGAGGCUCGAAAGCGUGGGGAGCAAACAGGAUUAGAUACCCUG